RNAcentral lists this ribosomal RNA (94 nucleotides) under uncultured bacterium. Its description in RNAcentral is "partial 16S ribosomal RNA". The record is from RNAcentral.
CCGCCCGUCACACCACGAAAGUCGUUUUGCACCAGAAGUCGCUGAGCUAACCGCAAGGAGGCAGGCGCCCAAGGUGUGUGCGAUGACUGGGGCU